RNAcentral lists this ribosomal RNA (387 nucleotides) under uncultured bacterium. Its description in RNAcentral is "bacterial SSU rRNA". It matches the Rfam family "Bacterial small subunit ribosomal RNA", at positions 29 to 417 of the family's 1533-position model. The record is from RNAcentral.
ACGAACGCUGGCGGCGUGCUUAACAUAUGCAAGUCGAGCGGUAAGGCCCUUUCGGGGGUACACGAGCGGCGAACGGGUGAGUAACACGUGGGUGACCUGCCCUCAGCUCUGGGAUAAGCCUGGGAAACCGGGUCUAAUACUGGAUAUGACUCCAUGACGCAUGUUGUGGGGUGGAAAGCCUUGUGCGGCUGAGGAUGGGCCCGCGGCCUAUCAGCUUGUUGGUGGGGUGANGGCCUACCAAGGCGACGACGGGUAGCCGGCCUGAGAGGGCGACCGGCCACACUGGGACUGAGACACGGCCCAGACUCCUACGGGAGGCAGCAGUGGGGAAUCUUGCGCAAUGGGCGAAAGCCUGACGCAGCGACGCCGCGUGAGGGAUGACGGCCU